AUUGAACGCUGGCGGCAGGCUUAACACAUGCAAGUCGAGCGGGGUGAUGGUGCUUGCACUAUCACUUAGCGGCGGACGGGUGAGUAAUGCUUAGGAAUCUGCCUAUUAGUGGGGGACAACAUCUCGAAAGGGAUGCUAAUACCUCAUACGUCCUACGGGAGAAAGCAGGGGAUCACUUGUGACCUUGCGCUAAUAGAUGAGCCUAAGUCGGAUUAGCUAGUUGGUGGGGUAAAGGCCUACCAAGGCGACGAUCUGUAGCGGGUCUGAGAGGAUGAUCCGCCACACUGGGACUGAGACACGGCCCAGACUCCUACGGGAGGCAGCAGUGGGGAAUAUUGGACAAUGGGGGGAACCCUGAUCCAGCCAUGCCGCGUGUGUGAAGAAGGCCUUAUGGUUGUAAAGCACUUUAAGCGAGGAGGAGGCUCUUUUGGUUAAUACCCAAGAUGAGUGGACGUUACUCGCAGAAUAAGCACCGGCUAACUCUGUGCCAGCCGCCGCCGCGG
Molecule: ribosomal RNA, 503 nt
Filed under: uncultured bacterium
Lineage: Bacteria
Description: partial 16S ribosomal RNA
Rfam family: Bacterial small subunit ribosomal RNA
Source: RNAcentral